This is a long non-coding RNA of Polyodon spathula (Mississippi paddlefish), 340 nucleotides long. RefSeq lists it as uncharacterized. The transcript has 3 exons. Lineage: Eukaryota; Metazoa; Chordata; Actinopteri; Acipenseriformes; Polyodontidae. The record is from RefSeq and is a predicted model, not a curated record.
GUUAAAGAAACCUGCUAGCCACACUGCAUUGGGGAGGGAGAAAUCGGUCGUCCAGGACUCCAGCUCCUAAGUUUUAGGAUAAAUUGAUGCACCCUGACAGGUUAUCCAGUACGGUUGUGGGAAGGAGAUGCCAGAGCCCUCCGAGUGAUGGAUUGCAGGACCCUGAACAGUGAUGAAAGGGUUGAAUCAUGACAACCAAACUACAGGAUACCGAAACGAGAAAGAAAUGCACACCUUUGCACAAGAACAAUAUUUAAGGGCACACUUACCCAGUGCCUCUACAUCCUUCAGUGGGUCAACUCCAGGUGAAAGGAUAAAGAACAUGGGAGUUGAGGAGCUG